UGCUCCACGUCUAGUCUACAUUACAUAUUAUUUUCCCAAAACUUGAUACCUAAGAGAGGUAUCCUACUUGAAUGAUGAAAUCAUUGCGGUCGCAAUGGGUUCAUCAUCAUAAGUCCUUUUAUUUCACAAACUCCCAUAUCCCGUGUUACACAUCAUCUUUUAAAAACCAUCCUAAAUUAAUAAGCAGGGCUAAGCAUCACUAAAUUUUCAUAAAAUAGGUAUUAGGGUUGUUUAAUCAAAGAAGGAAAUGCAUCAACUGUUUGAUCACACAACUCCUAUCACCUAAUGCAUCAUUCAAGGUGAUAAAACUUUUUAAAACAGAAGGAGGUGGCAAAUGCACCGGGGCUUGCUUGGAUAACACUAGGUUAGUGUUGUUAGACGACGUCCGCUUGACGACCAUCUUUUGUCUUGACAUUCGUCAGAUUAUCCAUCUUCAGGUUCGUCCGACUGACGACGUCGUCUUGCGGCAGAGGUCCACUCCUAGCACCAUCUUGAGGUCAACUUGGCUCGUCUUCCGCAUCACGCGAUCAAUUAAUGUACCUCAUGGGAUGCACGAUGCACAUGUAUGAGCACGAGUAUAAAUAGUACAAGAUAGAUAAUCUACACUAAAAAGGAUGAAACACUUAUAACCAAGCAUAUUUUAUACAAUAUACCAAUUACAACUUUAGAACUAAAAGACCUAAAGUGUUUAUACGCAUUACUUAUCAGGCAGAUCCUAUAUUUUGGUUGAAACAAAUAUAUCGAUGUUACUUGAUCCUAAAUAUUCGAAGUAGCAAUCAACAUCCAUUCAAAUCAUGAAAUCAACCAACACAUAUUCAUGCCUAGUUUAGAGAGCACACUAAUUGACUUACAAUUUUGGCUUCACGAUUCUGGGACACCUAAUGUUUAUAAAAUUCAUCAAAGAACUUUUAUUAACUUUCUAAACUAAUUUUCCGGCUAACAUGUGUAUUACACAUAUUAAUAAAACAUUAUAUUUUUAACACGUACAGUCCCGCAAGCACUGGGACCUAUUGCGACCUCUUUCUUCACAUGACAUCGACCAAAUCACUGUAGACGACUUGGGCAUCCUAAUAAAUAGUAUACGUACCCCAUGUCACACAUAUACUAAAGGCAAUAGGACUGAUAUAAUUAGUAUACCUACAGUUCCCUUUAUCAAACUAAUAACCGAAUUAGCAAUCCGACUCACUACAGAGUCAUCACGAUUAAUAUACCUAGUCAGACUAUUCAUCAGUUCACUAACACGAAUUUCAAAUUUGCUUACCCUAACUAAUUCGACGUGAUAGUCGGAAGCACGAUGACGGUUUCCGGUUGACGUCUUUGAUCACACACGUCUGGCGAGCAAAGCACAUAGUUUCUAUUCUUGACCAAAUACCCAUGGAUUCCUUUUUGUCGAGACGGUGACGCGUGGCCAUCACAAGAGCGUCCUCACGACUUGGGGCUUGGCGUAGACGAGGAUGGUGAUCAACGACAUCGACAUGCAAGCGUGACGAUUUUUCAUUCGACGAAGACGAUGGCAGUACGACUCGUUCGAACCUUUUGUCGAGCACCUGGUGAACAUCGUAUAGGGUAAGUCCGAUGCGGCGCUUAGGAUGAUGGCGCGGGGAGACAUGCCAAAAUCCUGGACGCGACGGCGAUUUCACACCGAGGCGACCAAUGGGGGCAGCACCCAGGCACACACGACACGAACCAGGCAACCAGCUGCCUACGGCGCAGCAGGGACAGAGGGAGGAGCGCAGCGCGACGGGGAUUAAGGCUGAGCGAUCCUAGCGGGCGCGCUGGCGAGCAGGAAGCCGCGUGCGAGAGAUCGAGACCGAGCAGAGAGAGCUGCCUGGCAGCGCAGCGGCCCACGUCCGCGGCAAGCAGGCUGGGCGCCGAGCAGGGAGCGGAGGGAGAUGGACCGGCUCGGCACGCGCUGGAAGCUCGGACCAAGACGCAGGGAGCCGGCCAUGGAGCUUGGGGAGCUGCGCAUGGAGGCGAACUCGGCACGGCGGGGGACGACGGAACGCUGCGCGCGUGUCUAGGGAGAGAGGGAAGCACGGGAGCGAGCUGAGGAAGAGAGAGAGAGCGCACCGUGGGGAAGGGAGCAGAGCGCGCACAUGGAGGAGGAAGAAGACCUGGCGGCCGGCGCUCAUCCGGGCGAGCAGAAACCAGGGCUGCGGUGCGGGAGCUGGAGGCGCUCGGCAGGAAGCGCGACUGCGCGUAGGGAGAGCCACGACGCUUAGCCAUGGGAGCAGUGGAGCGCGCAGGGGCGAGCACCAGAGAAGGAGCGAGCGGCCGAGCUGGGGACUAGGCAGAGGAACUCGAGCAGGCAGGGGAGAGAGCGCGCGCCACCACGGGCGAGCUGGAGGCCGAGCUGUAGCAGGGAGGAAGACGCUCGCUAGCGCAGGGAAGCUGGGAGAAGCGACGCGAUGGAGCUUCAGCAGAGGAUUGCUGCGCGCGUAGAUAAAGAUCAGGGCGGCCAGGAAAAAAAAUAACCCCCCGGCGGCUGAAGAUAGGAGCGCGCGAGGAGAAAAAUCAAGGCGCGGUCAGAAGAAAAAUCAGGGAGGAGAUUUUUCUCAUUUUUCUGCUCUCUUUCUUUUUUAAGAGAAUUAUAGAUAUUUUAGAUCAUGAUUUUUAGCGAUAAUCAAAGGUUCGACGCGCUAUACAACUACACAUAUUAUUUUCUCGGAUUUUGAAAUAGGAAACCGAAUUGGCCAGCAAUUGUUCCGGUUUCGGUUUAUUUAAACAGUCCGUCCCAAGUAGCGCAUUUAUCGAAUUUAUAGAGAUUACUCGAACCGAGCGAAAUACUUAAGCGACAAUUUUAGUUCAUGUUAAUCGACUAAUUUUAAACUGGCACUACGCUCGACAUUUUAGAAAUAAAUAAAUUUUAAACGGUGCGAGCCCAAUGCGGCAUCGCAAUCGAAAUUUCCCGGAGACGACGUGAGCAUUGUCACGGGAGCGAGAUAUAGACGGAUAAAACCAGGCGAAAUCAGAUUCGAUAUUUUAGUCGACGUUUGAUUUAGUUGAACCUAAACAAAUUUCGCCUUCUAUCUAAAUAUUCAAUCGGAGAACAACUCAAUUAACAAUCCUGCGCCUCGUUUUUCUCGGAUUCCGAGUGUGGUCCCAUUUAAUUUUACAUUAAGACUUUUAUCACCGAGUUCAAAUUAAUUUGCCCGGGACAAAAAUCACAAGACUGGGUGAAAUUUCCAGACUCGUAUCGCGUAAUUAAUGAAUUUUAAAUAGGCACAGGACUCGCAAUCUUUCAGAACAAUUACAUUCCGAAAUUUGUGAAAAUUUUAAGAAGAGUCUAAAUAGACAGAAACAGAUGCGAUAUUAAAAUCGCGAUAGACGAAAAUGAAUAAAAUUUAGAAUCCGUUUUCUCUACCGUUGUCACGUGUUAAAGUCCGCAUUCGAGGUCGAGCAGACGAUAAACACCUGGGGUGUUACAGCCCUCCCCCUUAAAAGAAUCUUGUCUCGAGAUUCGGAGUGAAAGACUUUUAAGUGUAGAGAAGCAUAUAACCCAUGUCCAUAUCAGCGAUAACCAUGAGACAUUUCCAAGCAAAGGCGAGUGUCUCAGGAUGUCGUUUCUCUAGUGGACAUAUCAUAUAUCGUCGUAGGCUAAUUUAGAGAUGUCCAACGAUAGAGACGAUGUCUGCCAGAAGAACAUAUAAGGUUCCAUGUGUGCAGUUUGCUUUUUUCUGAUAACACUAUACUAUCUGAGUCUGUUGAGCGAGCGGCAAAUACAUGAUUUUACUCAAACAGAAUCAGUUGCAACCUCUUGGGUAAAACACACAGAAAGAGGUUUACCAACAAGUGGUCACGGUAAGUUCAUAGCACACGAGACGGGUGUGAAUAUCGAAUAACAUCACAGUUAACUCGUGUUAGCCAAAAAUUGAAGUCCAAGAAAAAUGAUAGAGACUCGAAAAAUUACUGAUGAAGGGAUCUGUAAAUGCUGACUUCGUGUCUAAUCCAUUUUAUCGAGCACUAAGCAUGACUCGACCUGAUCACUCAUGAUGGAAAAGCACACGUGAGGCGAAAGAGGCAUGACAAGAGCUGUGGUUAAGCUGUUAAUAGUUAGCUGAGGAUGGCAAAAUACCUCGACCAACAAGGUAAAGUUAAGAUGCAUAUGCUCAUAAUCUAAUCCAAUAUGGCACAAGAUCUGCGCAUAUGUUCAUAACCUUCACUUGAUCUUCACCAGAUUUUCUUCAGGAUAGGCUGAACUAAAGUGAGUUUAGACAACUCAAUAAAACGAUCUCUAAACUCAAUCUUUGUUCACAAAGCAGUUACAGGUUAGUAAAACCAACUUGUUUAAUUACCUUUGACAUUGAGCAGGUCCUCUCAGUACCAUCGAUAAGCCAAGGGAUAGAGUUCACUUUUGCCAAUGUUGGGGACUUGUUCUCAAAUGCUAUGAAUUAAGAACAAGUCAACACAGAAACAAGUUAACGGUGAAUGCCCUUCGUCCUUUGAAGCAUUAUUUCCCUUAGGAUAUAACGAUCUUCGGACGAAGGUCAUGAAGGACAUACCUUCAUCAUCACAGUUUAUGUUGAUAAAAGGAGAAGCAUAUGAAACAUGAGAGAAUAACAUGGAUAAUCACAUAACAUUAUUUAUGUGUCUUUAUUAUAUAAUCAUGGAUGAAUAAAAACAAUAUUGAAUUACAUUUGUACCUUCGGCUUGACAGAAGGUGAAAGUACAAGCGUGACGCACGAGCGAGUACAAGUCAGCAUGAACAGUACAGGGGUAUUGUUCAUCUAUUUAUAGGCACAGGACGUAGCCUGUGUAAAAUUACAUUCAUGCCCUUCAUAUUCAGUAUUGACUUAAGAACAAUCUAUCGAGGACUAAAUAGCCUUUUCCUCCUUAAGUCGGUUCCUUUUUCUGCUAUUGAGCCGAAGCUUCCUUGCGCACAGCUUUGGCGCUGGUUCAACCUUUGUUCUAACCCUGCUUUCCAUAUUGUGUACAGCUUCAUCCCAAGUUUGAAGGUUCCUAUGCAUAUAUUAUGCUUGGGAAACAUUGUUAAUCAUGUUUUUGAGGACCUUCGGAAGACAAAGGCCCCCAACAGUAGCCCCUCGCAGUAUUAAUUUGUUAUAUUUACAAAUUCAGACUGCAACGUGAACGGAGGCCUUAAGCCGAAGGUCCAAAAAACACCUUCCCUUUGCUAGAAUAGCAACAAUCAAUGAUAGACGGGGCCCUCCAAGUUGCAGGGUGCUAGGCGUAUAAAUAUGAACUCACACCGGCUGCAUUUGAUACAGUGUUUCUGCCAUUUGCAUUAUUUUCUCAAACUUUUAGCUCUUGCUCACUAGCGCUCGCUAGAUUUUCAAGAUUUAUGAGCUUCGGUUAAAAGAUGCAUCUUUACCAUGUCUGGGGAAAAUGACUGAGAAGGAGAAGCUGACUGAAAAGAUGAAGCUAUUUGAGGAGAAGAAGGUUGUGGAUCCUUGUAUUGCUGGAUUUAUUGAGUCGAUGGCAAAGACAAACACAAAGAAGAUUACUAAAGAGAUACUGGAAGGUUUAUCUAAAGAUACUAGUGACAGCGAUAGCUAUGAUGUGGAAAGUGGGGGUGAAGAUUCUGAAGAUCGGCCCUGGCGACCAAGCCAUGAUGUCUUCGGAAAAUCGACCAUUAAACAGAGUGAUCUUGAGAACAUGUGAGGAAGGUACUUUCAGGAUAUGUCUAUCGUGAGGGCUGGUGGAGACAACAAGGUCCCUGCCUGAGGAAGACGAAGUUGUUAUCUACCGAAGCUUUUUAAGGCUGGACUUCAGUUUCCUUUGAACAAGUUUGUAGUUGAAGUACUGAAGAUCUACCAGAUCUUCCUUCAUCAGAUCACCCCCGAAGCUAUAAUGAGGAUGGAGAUUUUUGCCUGGGCUGUAAGGAGUCAAGGGCUAGAGCCAAGUGCGAAGUGCUUCUGUAGUAUGCACGAGCUCUUAUACGAGACGAAGGCUAUUGGCAAAGAACAGUACCACAACAACUUUGGUUGUUAUGGAUUUAUUGCUCGCUCCAACGCAAGCCACCCGGUGCCAACGUUUCGGAAGAGAUGGCCCGGAGCCUAGAUGGAAGAGUGGUUUUAUGUGAAGAAUGAUUUAAAGGCAAGGGAAGAGAUUAAAGAAAUCAUCAUGCGCCCCAUCUAGUCACGCUUCGGCCUCCGAAGGCUGAAGGUGGAAAUUGAUGACACUAUCGAAGCGUGUCAGAGGGCUUUCAGCACUGUUUGCUCCUUCAUCGGCACAAGAGAUAUAAUUCAAGAACAUAUAGCCUUCAAGGUAUGGCCGCUCGUGGAAAACUGGGAAAUGCCGAAGGAGACCACCACUAAUUCUAAUGAUGGCGGUCUGGUCCGACUGAAAUAUACCUUCAGAUUUAGGGAGAAAUUUGAUGAACCAAACGACGAUUGGCUGAAGUGUAUUGAAGCUACCACCGAUGAGCUGCUUGGAGCUUACUCCAAGACCGAAGAUAACGCUCUGUCCGCAGCCUUCGGAGGUCGGGGGAAGAAAAGACUAAACAGGGUUUUUGAUGCGAUCGGCUUCAUAUACCCCGAUUAUCGCUACCCGCUGCGAGGGCAACAGAAAAAGUGGAAGAUUGCUACUUCGGUAAUCCCAGCUGAGCCUGUACCGAAGAGCAAAAAGGUGAAGGUUCUGACCCACCGGCCACGUUAUAUUGAGCCGACCGUAGUGCCUAAAUUUGGCGUAGGGUCCUCCUCAGCAGCCGAAGCAACAGAAACUACUCCGAUUGCAUAGAGCAAUGAAGAGGCGACCGUAAUGCCGAAGGUAUCCAUAGCCGAGCCAGUCAAAGAUAAGGUUGAUAAGGCUGAAGAAUCAAAGGCUGAAAAAAUAAUGCAAGUUCCAAAAAUUCUGAGCCAUCCGAUAGAGGAAACACUGCCGAAGGUGCAAAAGGCUUCUGCUGCAACUCCCAAGAGGAGGAGAAUGGGCAACGUGCUGGAUGCUGUGCUUUAAACUGCGAAGGUUUUAAGCCCUGCUGCUACAAAAAAAGUUGCUGAAACUCCAAAAACGCAGGCCGAAGCCAAAACUAGACAAGCAGAAACUGAAGCUGUGCAAGCUCAAACUGAAGCCAAAGAUGGGCCUUUAGUGCCCACCGAGAUGGUGCCUGCUGACCCCAAGGAAAAACGACAGAGCAGAUUGCAUCUAAAAAAAUUGAAGCUCUUGCUCCUGAAGCUUUGAACAAAAGUAUUGACUACAUUAUUCGUCAUGCUUCGGGAAAAGAACUAUCCCAAGAAGAAUUGUUAGAAGCACGACACUACGCCCAAAAAUUGAAAUAUCCGAAGGGGGCGUUAGUGUUCAAUGGUAGUGACGAAGAAGAUUUUCUGUACUGUCUCCCAGAUAACAAAGAAAUAUACGUUUGCCGGGAGAUAGGUAAAAGCAUCGGAUUCCCGAAGCUGGAAGACGGCCUUUCGAUUUUAUCGAAGGAUGAACUUGCUGACAGCCUAGCAUACGAUAGCAUAAAGGUAUAAAAACUAACUUUGAAUUUGAAAAUGAGAUAUUUCAUUUGUCAUACUCAAUUCUUUCCUCCUCUUGCAGGGCUUGAUUCUUAGUAAUGCCCUUAGGGCGCAGAAAAAUAUUGAAGACGAAGGCUAUACGAUGGCUCUGAACAACCUUCAUUCAGAGGUGAUUGAAUUGAGAAACGAAGGUCUUGAAAAAUACAAAAUCUUAAUUUCUCUGGUUAACAAAGUGAAAGAAAACGAAGCUUGUUUCAAAGCUCAGGCCGAAGCCCAAAAGAUUGAAAUUGAAGACCUUCGGAGGCAACUGGCCGAAGCUAAGGAAAAAUGCGCACUCGCAGAAGCUAACUAAGAAAUCAGCGAAUAUUGGAAAAAUCAUUUAGAGAAAAAUGUUGAAGAACUUCGCACAUCCAAGGAAAGGUGCUUUGAAAAAUCCUUGGAUUGUGUGAAGAAAAUAAAAGCUAAUUUCGCCAAAGUGGGUGCCUAUUCUGCCGAAGAAAACUUCAUACGAGGUGACCCCGAAGGUGUUAUUGAAUGGAUAAGUGGAGAAGCCGAGACCUUCGAAGAAAUUUUAAGUGAUCGCGGGGAUGUUUGCGCGUUUUCCGGUGCACGUGGAAUUUCAGCCAUCUUGGAGAAGGCGGGAUGCGACCAUAUUAAAACCAUGGCCCAGAGCGAAGCUGCCUUCUCUAUAGAUGAUACGAAGGAUCCUUCAGCUGAAGCAACCUUGAUGGGCGGAAAAUUCUAUAAUGAUGUCUGAGUGAAUGGUGGCCGAGAGAUGGCCCAUGAAAUUAUAAAGAAAAGUGAAAAGGAUACCCAUGACGCCCGAGCAGAAGCAAAGCGAGCCGAAGAAGCUGGAGAGCGCGAAAAACGUAUAGGUAUUACUUUUUGGCUUUUAGCUUCGGCGUUUGUUUUUGUGGCUUAGGGCUGAUUAACUUUUCCUACUUCAGCUGAAUUAUCUCCGCCGCCGGAACCGUUUGAUCCCCUAGCGGAUCCAGAAAUGAAGGAAGCGCUAGAAAUUAUAAGCAUGGCUGAAUCCAUUGUUGAUGAAGUUGUUAACAAAUUACUGGACAAAGUUGCAGAGAAAGUCCUUAAAGAGGAAUAGCACUUAUUGUAAAAACAUUUUGAGAUGGUCAAUGUAUGAGACACUAGAAUGGACAUUGUACUUUUAUUGCAACAAGACUGUAAUAUUUGAUGUGUGUAGCUUUGAAUCGAAUAUGUAAAUUAUUGUAAUUCAUUUCUUUGCGAUGCAUGAAACUUUGCAUACAUACCGUUUUUGAGCCUUCGGCGAAAAAAACACCUUCCCUUCUUUUCAUGCUUCGUAAAUAAAAAGAUCCAUGCUUCGCAAAAAUAUCCAUGCUUCGCAAAGAGGGAUCCCUUCUUUUGUUACAAGGCCGAUGAAGCUAUAUUUGCCGAAGCUUACUUCGUGUCUUAGCACAUUUUCAUUUUUACGAAGCAUUUGCCGAAGAUCAACUCCGUAUUCGAUUCUCGUAUCAUUGAUGCGAUAUGAUGUAUGAUGUGAUGCUAUGCGAAAUGAUGUGAUGAUAUGAUGCAAAAUGAUACUGAUGCCGAAGACACACAUCCACACACCCACACUGGAAUACACAAACUCUGCAUCCCCUUAGGAACGACUUUUGAGCUUCUUCACCGUAUAUUUUUCGGUGUUCACCGUUUAUUUUUCGGUGUAAGUUCUGCAUCCCCUUAGGAACGACUUUGGAACUUCUUCACCUUCUAUUUCGGCGGUAUAAGUUCUGCAUCCCCUUAGGAAUGACUUUUGAAUUUCUUCGCCUUAUAUUUCGGCGGUAUUUGGCUCUGCAUUCCCUUUGGAACAACUUUUGAGCAGAAAACGUACGCUGCACUCCCUUAGGAACGACUUUUGAAGCUUCGGUAAUUUUGGCUCUGCAUUCCCUUAGGAACGACUUUCGAGCUUAAAACUUACACUGCACUCUCUUAAGAACGACUUUUGAGUAGCUUCGGCAAAUUUAGCUCUGCAUUCCUUUAGGAACGACUUUUGAGCUUCAAAAUUCUAUGAGGAAGAUUUUGGGCAUCGUAAUUCUGUGAGGAAGAUUUAUUUCAUUCUGAUAGAAGCAAAAUCAUUACAAGAAUUUAAAACUAAAUUUACAUUACUUGUUCCUUACUAAAAAGAAAAAUGGCAUAGAACACAAAAGCAUUUCAGAGGUAGGAUAUCGCUCAGUAUAUGUGCUUCGAUUCUGGUAUAGUACUAUUGACUCGGACUCCUUCCUGAAGUCACAUUGUUGUUGGGAGCGUUGACGCCCUUCUGGCUGCUGGCUUCGGGAAUAAGUGGGCUGCAGUGGUGGUGGCGGUGGAAGCUGAGGCCAAGAAGCUUGUGAAUGACUUGCCGAAGCAACAGAGGCUGCAGGUUGAUUGCCCACGUAUUCCGGCAUGUAAGGAGAGUGGCACGAAGUAGUGUGCAAGACCUGCUUCGGCUGAUUCUGCCGAGCUUCAGCUUCGGCAAUCACCUUUUGUUUUAGAAUAGUGAUUUGGCACAUUCUUGUAGUGUGGCCCUUGUCUUCACCACAGAAUAAGCAAUAAAUUUUCCUGGGCUGAUCCCCAUAUCUUCCUUCGAAGCCCCCGGAGCCUCUGCCCCUUGGAGCUGGUGGCCUGAAGGAGCUUUGUUGUUGUCUCGAAGAUUGUGAGGUGUGAUGUGGCCUCUGAAGCUGGCUUCCUUUAUCGUCAUUCUGACUGGAGCUGUGGAUUGAUCUGACAUGCCUAGGGUGGAUUCUUCCUCCGAAGCCCUAGUCAUCUCAUAAAAUAUGUAAGCUUCUUCCCUUCUUUGUCGGAAGUCAUUGUUAGCUCGGAUGUACUCAUCCAUCUUCUGAAGCAGCUUCUCUAGAGUUUGGGGAGGUUUCCUGGCGAAGUAUUGAGCCGUGGGUCCUGGCUGAAGACCCUUGAUCAUGGCCUCAAUGACAAUUUCAUUGGGCGCUUGUGCUCUAAGUCGCAAGAACCUUUGGACAUACGCCUGAAGGUAUUCCUCAUGGUCUUGUGUGCACUGGAACAAGGCCUGAGCUGUGACUGGCUUCGUCUGAAAGCCUUGAAAACUGGUAACCAGCAUGUCCUUGAGCUUCUGCCACGAUGUGAUUGUCCCUGGCCGAAGGGAAGAAUACCAUGUCUGGGCCACGUUUCGGACUGCCAUGACGAAGGACUUUGCCAUGACAGCUGCAUUGCCUCCGUAUGAGGAUAUUGUUGCCUCAUAGCUCAUCUAGAAUUGCUUUGGGUCUGAGUGCCCAUCGUACAUGAGUAACUGAGGUGGCUUGUAGGAUUGUGGCCAUGGGAUAGCCUGCAAUUCUGCUGCCAGAGGAGAAGCAUCAUCAAAAGAAAAGGUACCGUGAUUAAAAUCAUCGUACCAUUCAUCUUCGUUGAAUGAGCCCUCCUGACGAAGCUCCCGGUGUUGGGGCCUUCGGUCGUGAUCAUCUUGAGUAAGAUGACGCACUUCCUCAGUAGCUUCGUCGAUCUUCUUCUGAAGGUCGGCCAGCCGAGCCAUCUUCUCCUUUUUCCUUUGCACCUGUUGGUGAAUGAUUUCUAGGUCCCUGAUCUCCUGGUCCAACUCCUCCUGAAAUGUUGGACUGGUGGCCUUCCUCUUUUGGCUUCUGGCCUCUCGGAGAGAGAGUGUCUUGGUUUGUGUCCAGUGGCUGCAGAGUAGCCCCUCGCGCUGUUAUCUACUUCGGCGGCAUAACGAAGGUUGAUGCUUUGCCGAAGGUUGUGGAAGUGAGUACACCGGAGGUGGGCGCCAAUGUUGGGGACUUGUUCUCAAAUGCUAUGAAUUAAGAACAAGGCAACACAAAAAGAAGUUAACAGUGAAUGCCCUUCGUCCUUUGAAGCAUUAUUUCCCUUAGGAUAUAACGAUCUUCGGACGAAGGUCAUGAAGGACAUACCUUCAUCAUCAUAGUUUAUGUUGAUAAAAGGAGAAGCGUAUGAAACAUGAGAGAAUAACAUGGAUAAUCACAUAACAUUAUUUACGUGUCUUUAUUAUAUAAUCAUUGAUGAAUAAAAACAAUAUUGAAUUACAUUUGUACCUUCAGCUUGACAGAAGGUGAAAGUACAAGCGUGACGCACGAGCGAGUACAAGUCAGCGUGAACAGUAUGGGGGUACUGUUCAUCUAUUUAUAGGCACAAGACGCAGCCUAUGUAAAAUUACAUUCAUGCCCUUCAUAUUUAGUAUUGACUUAAGAACAAUCUGUCGAGGACUAAAUAGCCUUUUCCUUCUUAAGUCGGUUCCUUUUUCUGCUAUUAAGCCGAAGCUUCCUUGCGCACAGCUUCGGCGCUGGUUCAACCUUCGUUCUGACCCUACUUUCCAUAUUGUGUACAACUUCAUCCCGAGUCUGAAGGUUCCUGUGCAUAUAUUAUGCUUGAGAAACAUUGUUAAUCAUGUUUUUGAGGACCUUCGGAAGACAAAGGCCCCCAACAGCCAGCAAAAGGGCAUGCAUUUGGGUAGAAAUCCAUUUGGUCAUGUUGUUCAUCCGUCUCAUCAUGUGAGAUGAAAUGACUUGGUUUAGGAAUAUAUGGAUUAAAUAAGAGAGCGAAUGAACCAACUCCUGCAUCUCAGCAGCAAGGAAAGUCAAUCUCCAUUUUGAGAACUAAUCAGUUGUCUCUCAAUACUAAAAAGCUUCAAGGCUCCACCUUUAAACAAAGGACAUAAAGUGAACUUGUAUGAGUAGUCACUACCAUGAUCAAAAGAAAAGAGACCACACACAAAAAAAUGGUAUGCCCUUUUUAUCCAACAGAAAUGAUAUAUGUUGCUUGAUCACUUGACAAACAACAUAGAACUAGUUUCAAGGGAGGAGUCCACGGAAGAUCACACAUCAGCGUAGUUCCACAAUGGAUCAUGACUAGAGACCUUGAUACCAGCAUCCGACGAGUAGCACAACCUUGCGUGUACAUUCACAAGGGGCUCUCAGUUUCGCUGCGGCACCUUAAGUCCUUAAUCAUGACACCAUCACUGAACUAGCACCAAUAAAGAAUCACAUGUGGUAAAACUAGAUUGUACCAAGAUAACACAUUUAUAUUGUCUCAUAAUGGAUUACAACUACUAAUCGUGAUACCAGCGCGUGCCGAGCAGCACGACCAUGUGUGUACAUUCACAGGAGGCCCUUGGUUUCGUCACAGCACCAUCGGUUUUAGUCAUAACACCAUUACUAGACAUAACCAAUAAGAAAUCUCGUGUGACACCAAUGGAUUGGGCAAGGGUGAUAAUAUACAAAGAGACUCUAUCUAUCAAAACGAUUACAAGUAGAGAGUCAAAUAGAUCAUGGCCUGAUGAAACGAACAAGGCAUGGCCAUAACCUAAACUUGAUGAAAGGAGUAUGAUGGGAGACUGUUACUUCAGCCCCAAGCAUAUUUUUAUGCCCAUCACAGAGAUUACAAGGUCAAGGAUUAGUAUCUUAUUAGAUACGGUGGGAAAACAAUCAUAAGAUUAAGUUGAUAUGCCUUAGAUAGGUAUGGGGAAACCAAAGGCAUCAAAUUCAAGAAAAUGAUCAAACCUGUCUUUUCUGGGUUGGGUUGAUAAAAUAACAACAUGAUCCUCAAGAAGAGGCAAAAUAGAAAUAUCUACUUGCACCAACCGAACAAGGGAAUGGUUUUGGUUGGAAACAUGACUCGAUAUUCUUGUUUUAAGCCCAGGUACACUUUAUGUCCAACAAAGAAAUUAUCUAAACAUUUAUUUGCAUGGGCUCGGUGUCGGAGGGAUAACAGAAAAAUCAAACUUAGGUCAUGGCUCACUAAAUAAAAACAUGGCUUAAUUUUGGGUUUAGGCAAUCAAGCCACCAACUCUCUAUUGGCACAUUAAGUACAAGAGCAAACACAUAUAUAACACCUAAAUAUAUUACCUAAAGAACAGAGGACAACUAUUUCAUAGAAGUUCAUAAUACAACAUUACACCAAAUUUUCUACACUCACCGACUACUAGAAUAAAGGUGAGAAUAGCUUUUUCGUGCACAGGUGAGAAACAAGAUGCAACAAUUAGGAUGCAUGCUCGUCCUAUUCACCCUCACACAUUUUGCCAACAUAAUGUGGAAAUAGCGUUCUAUAUCGGUGGCAUACUUAUGACUCUCACGGUAUUUUGCUAGUGGUCAACUACACAUAUGUUUUUGAGGUUAGUGUACCUGCAGAAAAUUCCAUCACAACCCAGUUUCCCAUGAUGCAAGAUCCACACAUGACAGUUUAUCACAGUUUAUAAUCCAUAUAUUGCUAUAUGGAGGCCAGCUCAUCAUUAAGCAUCGAGCGACGCAUAGGCGCCAUUGCCACACUUUAACCAUAGGGCAACCCAUUAUGGUAACUUACCUUCUUACCUGAGCGCAAGUGCGUCGUUACAAGUACAUUACACUUCUCAGUAUUCCCAUGUCUGUAUACCCAUACACAUCCAUGGGGGUACCGAAUUCCAAGAAAAGUAAAUACUCCACAUCGCAGCCUUCAUAUAUACAUAUGUGUAACAUGUAUAUAAUCAAACGCUUUUUAUACUCUUCCCUAGACCGACUGUUGUUCGGUCAUGCUCUCACAUAUCACCUUACCUUAGCGUCGAUCCAUUCAAGACUGAAUGGCCUCAAAAAUAACAUUACACAUGUAUGCAAUACCCCCGGUUGUGGGUUAGUGGUUUUUACCUAAGCCACCUGAUAGUCCUUAAUUUAGGGCUUAACAGAGGAUGUCGCUAGCAUUAUAGUUUUUCAAAUCUGUUUUCCAAAACCAAACAAUGUGUUUAGUUGAAAAUAGGUUUUCUAAAACCAAAACUUUGUUUUUAAAAUACGUAUGUGACCGUAUUAUACUUAAUCUUGCUCUGAUACCAGCUGUGGCAGAAGCUCCUAAGUUAUUAGGCCCAUAUGCACCUACCCUUGUCUCAAAGACCUCAGACGGCUAUGCAUGUGCACUAGAUAACUUAACAGGAUCCGUCCGAGUGCCCUAAGGAACCCGGAUAAACCACAUACAACCAGGAUCACAAUAUUAAGUAAACACAAAUCACACACCAACAUUUGCAGCGGAAUUUCUUUAUUACACAAAGUUACAAGUUACAACAAAUUUACAUUAUGUUUAUCGGAGUGAUUAUAAAAGUGAUUCAAAGAAAUAAGCUUUGAAAUGUUAUAAAUUAUUUAUAAUUUUGAAAUAUAUGCUAGCUUAAUAAAAAUCCUUAAUAAGAAGUAUAGGAGAGGUACUUAGACUUAUAAGAAGGCCGUGCCCACCGGCACUUAACACCAUCCAUGGCAGCACAAUACUAAUACCUGCAACAACGUGGGUUCGAAAACCUUGAUUAAGAAGUGUACUUUCGCAAGUCUUACCCGUCUAAGGAAAAAUACUCUCAAGAAUAUGAUGGCUUUUGGGAAUCAAGAUAAGGCUAAGCAAUAAUCAAGGACUCAUUUUGCAGAAACGCUUACUAAUAGUGGAUCCUUAAGCCAUCUUUUAAUUAUCAAGUUAAGUUCUUACCUGAUUCUAAAUUUGCCUAAUCUAGAUCAUUCACUUGUCCUGAUCUAGCUUUAUUUUAGCCAAUUCAUAUUUCACUUAAUAACUACGAUGAGUGGUCAGUGAGUUGAGUCUCCAUAACUGAGGAGCAAGGACGAUUCGAACCGAUUAUACCCAGAUGGGGAUCCCUAACCACACGACAUAUGUAGCACUUAACCCUUGCAUAUGUCAACCGUUCCCACAGAUCCUCCACAACGUGAACCGGUCCGCGCUACCUGGGAGCAUGGUACUCCUCCGUCUAGCCUCUAGCCAGGAGGGUACACGCUACUCCCACCAUCUCCCACGCCUAGUGCGCGGUUGUCUUUUCACGUAUGGAAUAGCCGGGUUCAGGCUUACCAGAGCAUGUGGCUAGUUGCAAAGUCUCACCUCAUCAGGCCUACAUCGAACGGUCCUUAAUCGACAUAGACGGGCGAACUUUCCUGCUCAACGUCUGGUCUACAUUACAUAUUAUUUUCCUAAAACUUGAUACCUGAGAGAGGUAUCCUACUUGAAUGAUGAAAUCAUCGCGGCCGCAAUGGGUUCAUCAUCACAAGUCCUUUUAUUUCACAAACUCCCAUAUCCCGUGUUAGACAUCAUCUUUUAAAAACCAUCCUAAAUUAAUAAGCAGGGCUAAGCAUCACUAAAUUUUCAUAAAAUAGGUAUUAGAGUUGUUUAAUCAAGGAAGGAAAUGCAUCAACUGUUUGAUCACACAACUCCUAUCACUUAAUGCAUCAUUCAAGGUGAUAAAACUUUUUAAAACUAAAGGAGGUGGCAAAUGCACUGGGGCUUGCCUGGAUAACACUAGGUUAGUGUUGUUAGACGACGUCCGCUUGACGACCAUCUUUUGUCUUGACAUUCGUCAGAUUAUCCAUCUUCAGGUUCGUCCGACUGACGACGUCGUCUUGCGGAGAUGUCCACUCCUAGCACCAUCUUGAGGUCAACUUGGCUCGUCUUCCGCAUCACGCGAUCAAUUAAUGUACCUCAUGGGAUGCACGAUGCACAUGUAUGAGCACAAGUAUAAAU
Molecule: long non-coding RNA, 15875 nt
Filed under: Zea mays
Lineage: Eukaryota; Viridiplantae; Streptophyta; Magnoliopsida; Poales; Poaceae
Description: long non-coding RNA (ZMAY_LNC004352)
Source: RNAcentral